Molecule: non-coding RNA, 94 nt
Filed under: Oenococcus kitaharae
Lineage: Bacteria; Bacillati; Bacillota; Bacilli; Lactobacillales; Lactobacillaceae
Also listed under: 1 other name
Description: TPP sequence
Rfam family: TPP riboswitch aptamer (THI element)
About the family: Vitamin B(1) in its active form thiamin pyrophosphate (TPP) is an essential coenzyme that is synthesised by coupling of pyrimidine and thiazole moieties in bacteria.
Source: RNAcentral
UACUUCUAUCUGGGGUGCUUGCCUAUAGCAAGCUGAGAAUUACCCAUUGAACCUGUAGGUUAGUACCUGCGUAGGGAGAUAACAAAAAGAGUCG